AACGAACGCUGGCGGCAUGCCUAACACAUGCAAGUCGAACGAGACCUUCGGGUCUAGUUGCGCACGGGUGCGUCACGCGUGGGAACCUGCCCUUAGGUUCGGAAUAACUCCCCGACGGGGGUGCUAAUACCGGAUAAUGUCUUCGGACCAAAGAUUUAUCGCGCUGGGAUGGGCCGGCGUUGGUUUAACUAGUUGGUAGGGUAAAAGCCUACCAAGGCGACGAUCCAUAGCUGGUCUGAGAGGAAGAUCAGCCACACUGGGAGUGAGACACGGCCCAGACUCCUACGGGAGGCAGCAGUGGGGAAUAUUGGACAAUGGGCGAAAGCCUGAUCCAGCAAUGCCGCGUGAGUGAUGAAGGCCUUAGGGUUGUAAAGCUCUUUUACCCGGGAUGAUAAUGACAGUACCGGGAGAAUAAGCUCCGGCUAACUCCGUG
This 433-nucleotide ribosomal RNA is filed under the name uncultured bacterium. RNAcentral's name for it is "partial 16S ribosomal RNA". It matches the Rfam family "Bacterial small subunit ribosomal RNA", at positions 29 to 507 of the family's 1533-position model. The record is from RNAcentral.